ACGUCUGAUGACCUAUUCCUGAGCAGGUGUUUAACUUUCUAGCGGGUUUCCUUCACAUAACGUUGUUGGACCAAUAGGGCAAAACUUAUCAACACGUAGCACCUGUUGAGAAUAUUCUUUCAUCUUCCCAGGUGAUCUGUUUUUAUUACCAAAGUACUUGAGGAGAAGCCUUUCUCUACCGUGGGUCACAUUUCAUCUGCCA
Ostrea edulis (European flat oyster) is the source of this 202-nucleotide long non-coding RNA. RefSeq lists it as uncharacterized. The transcript is spliced from 2 exons. Lineage: Eukaryota; Metazoa; Mollusca; Bivalvia; Ostreida; Ostreidae. The record is from RefSeq and is a predicted model, not a curated record.